UACGUAGGGGGGCGAGCGUUGUCCGGAUUUAUUGGGCGUAAAGAGCUCGUAGGCGGCUUGGCAAGUCGGGUGUGAAACCUCCAGGCUCAACCUGGAGACGCCACUCGAGACUGCUAUGGCUAGAGUCCGGUAGGGGACCACGGAAUUCCUGGUGUAGCGGUGAAAUGCGCAGAUAUCAGGAGGAACACCGGUGGCGAAGGCGGUGGUCUGGGCCGGCACUGACGCUGAGAAGCGAAAGCAUGGGGAGCGAACAGG
RNAcentral lists this ribosomal RNA (255 nucleotides) under uncultured bacterium. RNAcentral's name for it is "partial 16S ribosomal RNA". It matches the Rfam family "Bacterial small subunit ribosomal RNA", at positions 524 to 776 of the family's 1533-position model. The record is from RNAcentral.